RNAcentral lists this ribosomal RNA (460 nucleotides) under uncultured bacterium. RNAcentral's name for it is "partial 16S ribosomal RNA". It matches the Rfam family "Bacterial small subunit ribosomal RNA", at positions 338 to 795 of the family's 1533-position model. The record is from RNAcentral.
CCUACGGGUGGCAGCAGUGAGGAAUAUUGGUCAAUGGACGAGAGUCUGAACCAGCCAAGUAGCGUGAAGGAUGACUGCCCUAUGGGUUGUAAACUUCUUUUAUAAAGGAAUAAAAUGAGGCACGUGUGCCUUUUUGCAUGUACUUCAUGAAUAAGGAUCGGCUAACUCCGUGCCAGCAGCCGCGGUAAUACGGAGGAUCCGGGCGUUAUCCGGAUUUAUUGGGUUUAAAGGGAGCGUAGACGGGUUGUUAAGUCAGUUGUGAAAGGCUGCGGCUCAACCGUAAAAUUGCAAUUGGUACUGGCAGUCUUGAGUACAGUUGAGGUAGGCGGAAUUCGUGGUGUAGCGGUGAAAUGCUUAGAUAUCACGAAGAACCCCGAUUGCGAAGGCAGCUUACUAAACUGUGACUGACAUUGAUGCUCGAAGGUGUGGGUAUCAAACAGGAUUAGAUACCCGAGUAGUC